RNAcentral lists this ribosomal RNA (433 nucleotides) under uncultured bacterium. RNAcentral's name for it is "partial 16S ribosomal RNA". It matches the Rfam family "Bacterial small subunit ribosomal RNA", at positions 29 to 507 of the family's 1533-position model. The record is from RNAcentral.
AACGAACGCUGGCGGCAUGCCUAACACAUGCAAGUCGAACGAGGCCUUCGGGUCUAGUGGCGCACGGGUGCGUAACGCGUGGGAACCUGCCCUUAGGUUCGGAAUAACUCCCCGAAAGGGGUGCUAAUACCGGAUAAUGUCUUCGGACCAAAGAUUUAUCGCCUUUGGAUGGGCCCGCGUUGGAUUAGCUAGUUGGUAGGGUAAAAGCCUACCAAGGCGACGAUCCAUAGCCGGUCUGAGAGGAUGAUCAGCCACACUGGGACUGAGACACGGCCCAGACUCCUACGGGAGGCAGCAGUGGGGAAUAUUGGACAAUGGGCGAAAGCCUGAUCCAGCAAUGCCGCGUGAGUGAUGAAGGCCUUAGGGUUGUAAAGCUCUUUUACCCGGGAUGAUAAUGACAGUACCGGGAGAAUAAGCUCCGGCUAACUCCGUG